CCGCUGCUUCGGCGGUGGCCAGAUGCGCUGCAACAGAGCCCUCAUCCCUCUCUCUCGUCUGCUCCAUGUAAGUCGCCUGAUUCCGGCGAGCCCCGACAUCUCCGCCACCGCGCAGCACAGCGCUGAGCUCGCCUCGGUCCGCUGCGUCCUCUCCUCCUGCCGGAUUUGCCGCUCAUGGCCCCCACCCGUGACCCUGCCCCGUGGUUAGGGUUUCGGGUGUUGGCUCCAACGCCGGCGGCUAUGUCUGGUGAUUUCAUCCCCUCCCCUCCUUCCUCCUCCUCACCUCUCUCUUCCUCUCUCUAUCUCUUGUUCUGUAGCAGCAAAGGACGAGUUGGCUGAGGGGAUGAUCAUGGUGGCGGCCAGAUCCGCCAAGGCUAUAGCAACUGCCACCUCUCAACUGAUUUUGGGUGUGCAAGAGGUUCAAGGAAUUGGGAAAGAUAAUGCAGAGGGUUGGAAGUAAAUUGCAGUGUCUCUGAUAGCACCAAUUGCCAUUUACGGAUCCAAGGCUCGUCGACGGGGCAGUGCAAGGCGUAACUCCGACGUGGUUCCUCGCUGGUUUGAUGGUGUUCAGGCGCAACCCGGUGCCCACCGAGUACUGCCUCGGCUACAACCUCCCUUGGUGAGCUCCAUCUUCCUCCUGCUCAUCUGCUUCGGCUACUGCAUUGGACAUGGCCGUGCCUAUAUUGAUGUGGUGCUCGUCUGGUUGAUGCUCUAUUCCCUGCUCAUGCAUCGGUUCCUACUUGAGCUCUUUAGUCAUAGAUGCAUGCUAUUCUAGGGUUUGCCGGCUGAGUUCAUGUUUGGUUUCUAUCAUAGGAGUUCCUGCGAUGAUCUGGUUUACAUGUGGAUGCUCUGGUUGUAUAGCUAUGCUCCUGGAUUUGCUAAAUUGAUCAGUAGUGUUCGUGCUAGGGCAAUGAUGAUUAACCUUGACUGAAAUAAGUGUGCCUUUGAGCAAUCGAGGCACCCGUGGGUAUCAAGCUGGAUCCUCCCUCUUGUCUCUAGAGUCCUUUUUCAUCCUGUGAUACUUGUUGUUCUAUCCUUGGAUGGUCAUUCUUGUUGAGUGAUAACCAGGGCAGCUCCACUGUAUAUGAUAAGAGAUGAUGGGGGUAGCUUAUAUGAUCGAGGAAAGGCGAAUCUGAGCCCACUAUAUCCAGAAUCAAGAGACGGGAGGAGCACCGGGCGUUCUCAGAGUUUAGCGACUCUCGGCCAUCCGAUCGACUCCUUGAUGCGUUUUCGGCCGUAGGAUCUCGCUCCCGAUCGAUCUCGUCCGUCAGAUCGAAACUGAGACCGUUUAUGUGCCCCGGUCGUGCGCGCCUUGCGCGAAUAGCCUGCCCAGCCGAGGGCAUUUUCGUCAUUUCACGCUUAUGCGUAUAAAAGGCGGCCGCUCCCGUGGAGAUGACCUAGCCGCCUCUAUCCUCGGCUAUAGCCUCCCUUGGGGAGCUCCAUCUUCCUCCUGCUCCUCUGCUUCGCCUACUGUGUGGCACAUGCCCGUGGCUGUGGUGCUCGUCUGGUUGAUGCUCUAUGCCCUACUCAUGCAUCGGUUCCUACUUGAGUUCUGUAGUUGUGGAUCCAUGCUAUUUUAGGUUUUGCAGGCUGUUGUUCAUGUUUAGUUGCUAUCAUAGGAGCUCAUGUGAUGCUCUGGUUUACAUGUGGAUGCCCUGGUCCAAUAGCUAUGCUCCUGGAUUUGCUAAAUUGAUCAGUGGCGUUUGUGCUAGGGCGAUGAUCAUUAACCGUGGCUGAAAUAAGUGUGCCUUUGAGCAAUCCAUACACUUGUGGGUAUCAAGUUGGAUCCUCCCUCUUGUCUCUAGAAUCCGUUUUGAUCUUGUGAUACUUAUUGUUCUGUCCUAGGAUGGUCAUUCUUGUUGGGUGAUAACCAGGGCAGCUCCAUUGUAUAAACAGAUUGAUCUGUGAUAAGAGAUGACGGGGGUAGGUUAUAUGAUCGAGGAAAGCCGAAUCUGAGCCCACUAUGCAAUGAACCCUGAACUAUUUUUAUUUGUAUUUAAAUGUGUUACUUAUUUAUGCUCCGAUGGCUUUCGUGCUGGGGCGAUGAUGAUUAGCCAUGUAUGAAAUAAGUGUGCCUUCGAGCAAUCGAGGCACCUGUGGGUAUCAAGUUGAAUCCUCCCUCUUGUCUCUAGAAUCCUUUUUGAUCCUAUGAUACUUGUUGCUCUGUCCUUGGAUGGUCAUUCUUGUUGAGUGAUAACCAGGGGAGCUCCACUGUAUAAACAGAUUGAUCUGGUGAUAAGAGACGGGGUAGGUUAUAUGAUCGAGGAAAGUCAGAUCUGAGCCCACUAUGCAAUGAACCCUAGAUCCUUUUUAUUUGUAUUUAAAGGUAUUGCUUAUUUAUGCUCCGGUGUUUAUAGUCGUCUUAUGUAAAGAUUUCUUCUCUCUCAUACCUUUAUUGCAUAUGAGUUGUUCUUGAUCUUUUAUUGUUUGUUGUUGGUCCUUGAUUUAAUCUGGUCAAGAGUAAGAUGCACUUUGUUAUACUAGAAAGACAUGCUCCCAGCAAGUUAUAGGGGCCUCUCUUGCUGCCUUAAGUUUGUAUGGUAAAGUAUGCAUCAUGUGUGCCUCUGUUUUGUUUCCGUCUUGUAUUCCUAUGUCUUGCUUCACAUAUCAUGGCACUUGAUAUAUGCAUGGUUGUUGGCGAUCGGACGCCACCACCGCCGCCGAUGCCAUCGUGGUUCUUGCCGCCAUCAAACAUUAAGUAAGUCGUGACCUUCUCUUUUUUUGCUUAGUGAUAUGCGCAUGGUUGCAACUACUCUACUGAUUACAAAAGAAACAUGAGCAUGGCAGACAUUGAUUACAAAAGUUGUCUUCGUUCUUUCAUGUGGAAGUCAGUGGCAGUACCUUGCGAGUUAAAUUACCUUCUUUCCUAUUAGAAAGCAGUGUAUGCUCUCUAGCUACUUAAUGUUUUCUUUCUUGGCUGUAGUUUAUUUCAUAUUUGUAGUUUCAAAAUGAUAUGUCAAACAUGCUCUAAUUUUUCAUGCCAUUAGUGAUUUCGGCUCAUAUUACUUCCUCUAUGUUUAUGGUUGGGUAGUGGUGCUUUACUGAUUAGGUAUUCUCAAUCAUGUAUCAUAUCUACGUUCAAAAAUAUGUUGGAGUUAGUAGCUGUGACCGUAGUUCGGCCUGCAAUUCUUGUUGGCUAUGCUGAUGGCCCUACCGCUGUGAUUGACACCGAUGUCCUUCUGUAGUGACAGAUGUUGCACGCCAGAUAGGUCUCCACGGCGUGCAAUAUUUAGUUUUAGCUUUAUUGUGUGAGUUUUUUGUGUUUUUCUGGUUUUCCAUUGGUCCUAAAUUGUACAUCGAAAUCAGUGUAGAUGUAUUAAGAGAGAUGAGCUACUAUGUAGGCAUUAUUUGUUUUUGUUAUGUACCUGGUUACUUAAUAAUCGUUCUUAAUAUUCAAAAGGGACAGAAAUAAGCUGAGUAUUUGAUCUGACUUGGUAGUGUUUGCCGGUUAACACAUCUAUGUCAUUAGACCAGUUCUUUUUUCUUCUCACAGUUUGUCAUUUAGAAUGAUUUUUUAGAGGAACCAGGAACUGGUUCCUGAUUCACUUUGUCCUGUUUGUUGAUGAUCCUUUUCUUCCUAUGGUUAUGCAGGCUUGAGUCUCAGUUUGAUCUUACGGUUCUACGGCUCAAAGGUUGAUGACUGCCAUGAGGCACUACCCAGUUAAAUCUUCGUCCAAGCUGACAACAAUCCUCUUGGUCUUAAAAAUUUUGUCGAGGCGGCAGGGAUCAAAGAAUAACAGAUCUGGGUCUUCGCCUUCCAAGAUUAGAAGGGGGAAACCAUCGCUCACUGUCCAUAUGCUUUAAAAGCAAAUCUCAAGUGCAUUGCUUAUACAAAAUAAUUUUGUGGUCAUCUAUCUCACAAACUAUUCACAGCAAGUUCAUAUGCAAUGGCACUCACGGAGGCAAUUGAACCAAGCUAUCUAUUGUAUGCCUAACUAUGGCUUUGUAGUUUUAUCGCCUCCAUUGCCAUUGUUGUCUUUUUCUCUCUUAUGUUUCUGCUCAUAUUACUGAACUUAAUGUUAGCUAAUUAGUUUUCUAUUCGUAUGACCGUAGUGGAUGCUGCCUUGCUUCUGGCACGGGUUAACUUUGAUAGUCUCAUGCCCAUGUUUAACUUGAUGAUGUUACUCUUCUGACACAUAUUGAAUGUUUCUUCUUA
Long non-coding RNA from Aegilops tauschii subsp. strangulata, 4156 nucleotides. RefSeq lists it as uncharacterized. The record is from RefSeq and is a predicted model, not a curated record. Lineage: Eukaryota; Viridiplantae; Streptophyta; Magnoliopsida; Poales; Poaceae.